GAUGAACGCUGGCGGCGUGCAUAACACAUUCAAGUCGAACGGAGUUAUUUGAAUUAAUCCUUCGGGAAGCGUGAGGAUAACUUAGUGGCGGACGGGUGAGUAACGCGUGAGCAACCUGCCUCUGUAUAUGGGAUAACGUCGGGAAGCUGACGCUAAUACCGUAUGAAGCAUAGACACCGCAUGAUGACUAUGCCAAAGAUUUUAUUGUACAGAGAUGGGCUCGCGUCUGAUUAGGCAGUUGGUGAGGUAACGGCUCACCAAGCCGACGAUCAGUAGCCGGACUGAGAGGUUGAACGGCCACAUUGGAACUGAGAUACGGUCCAG
Molecule: ribosomal RNA, 324 nt
Filed under: uncultured bacterium
Lineage: Bacteria
Description: bacterial SSU rRNA
Rfam family: Bacterial small subunit ribosomal RNA
Source: RNAcentral